UGGCUAUGAGGAUAAAUUGUAAACUGAAUUAUGGUGAUUGUUUUAUACGCUAUUCUGAGCCAACC
RNAcentral lists this small nucleolar RNA (65 nucleotides) under Sphenodon punctatus (tuatara). Its description in RNAcentral is "Small nucleolar RNA U54 (ENSSPUG00000009474.1)". It matches the Rfam family "Small nucleolar RNA U54". Lineage: Eukaryota; Metazoa; Chordata; Lepidosauria; Sphenodontia; Sphenodontidae. The record is from Rfam by way of RNAcentral.